Molecule: ribosomal RNA, 538 nt
Filed under: Teius oculatus
Lineage: Eukaryota; Metazoa; Chordata; Lepidosauria; Squamata; Teiidae
Description: partial large subunit ribosomal RNA
Rfam family: Bacterial large subunit ribosomal RNA
Source: RNAcentral
CAUAGCCUUCAGCCCYUAUUAGUAUUGAAGGUGAUGCCUGCCCAGUGAAUUUUUAACGGCCGCGGGAUCCUACACCGUGCAAAGGUAGCAUAAUCACUUGUCAUCUAAAUAAUGACUAGUAUGAAUGGCCAAAUGAAGACUUUCCUGUCUCUUGUAACUAAUCAAUGAAACUGAUCUUUCAGUUCAAAAGCUGAAAUAACAACACAAGACGAAAAGACCCUGUGGAACUUUCAAGUGAUAACCAACUCAUGGUAUUAGCCACUUUUAGUUGGGGCAACUUUGGAACAAAACAAAACUUCCAAUUAUAGGUUCAAUUAAAUAUUGCUUUAGGUUUACACACCUCUAAGCCCACACCACUAACGACCCAGUACUACUGAUAAAAGAAACAAGCUACCCCAGGGAUAACAGCGCCAUCCCCUCUUAGAGUCCCAAUCGACGAGCGGGGCUUACGACCUCGAUGUUGGAUCAGGGCCCCCAAACAGUGCAGCAGCUGUUAAUGGUUUGUUUGUUCAACAAUUAAUGCCCUACGUGAUCUGAG